CAGUCGCCGCGGUAAUACGAAGGGUGCAAGCGUUAAUCGGAAUUACUGGGCGUAAAGCGUGCGUAGGCGGUGAGUUAAGUCUGCUGUGAAAUCCCCGGGCUCAACCUGGGAAUGGCAGUGGAUACUGGCUCGCUAGAGUGUGUCAGAGGAUGGUGGAAUUCCCGGUGUAGCGGUGAAAUGCGUAGAGAUCGGAAGGAACAUCUGUGGCGAAGGCGGCCAUCUGGGACAACACUGACGCUGAGGCACGAAAGCGUGGGGAGCAAACAGGAUUAGAUACCCCCGUAGUCCCUGUCUCUUAUAC
RNAcentral lists this ribosomal RNA (301 nucleotides) under uncultured bacterium. Its description in RNAcentral is "partial 16S ribosomal RNA". It matches the Rfam family "Bacterial small subunit ribosomal RNA", at positions 509 to 807 of the family's 1533-position model. The record is from RNAcentral.